Molecule: ribosomal RNA, 501 nt
Filed under: uncultured bacterium
Lineage: Bacteria
Description: bacterial SSU rRNA
Rfam family: Bacterial small subunit ribosomal RNA
Source: RNAcentral
ACUCAAAGGAAUUGACGGGGACCCGCACAAGCAGCGGAGCAUGUGGUUUAAUUCGAAGCAACGCGAAGAACCUUACCUGGACUUGACAUCCCUGUGACCGCUACUUAAUCGUAGCCUUCCCUUCGGGGACACAGGAGACAGGUGGUGCAUGGUUGUCGUCAGCUCGUGUCGUGAGAUGUUGGGUUAAGUCCCGCAACGAGCGCAACCCCUGUUUUUAGUUGCCAGCAAGUGAAGUUGGGCACUCUAAAGAGACUGCCAAGGUAAACUUGGAGGAAGGUGGGGAUGACGUCAAAUCAUCAUGCCCCUUAUGUUCAGGGCUACACACGUGCUACAAUGGCCGAUACAACGGGCAGCUAAAGAGUAAUCUGGAGCCAAUCCUAAAAAAUCGGUCUUAGUUCGGAUUGUGGGCUGCAACUCGCCCACAUGAAGUCGGAGUUGCUAGUAAUCGCGGAUCAGCAUGUCGCGGUGAAUGCGUUCCCGGGUCUUGUACACACCGCCCGU